RNAcentral lists this long non-coding RNA (674 nucleotides) under Mytilus galloprovincialis (Mediterranean mussel). The record is from RNAcentral. Lineage: Eukaryota; Metazoa; Mollusca; Bivalvia; Mytilida; Mytilidae.
CUGUCAGACAGUUUUCACUUGACCUCGACCUCAUUUCAUGGAUCAGUGAACAAGGUUAAGUUUUGGUGGUCAAGUCCAUAUCUCAGAUACUACAAGCAAUAGGGCUAGUAUAUUCGGUGUAUGGAAGGACUGUAAGGUGUUCAUGUCCAACUGGCAGGUGUCAUCUGACCUUGACCUCAUUUUCAUGGUUCAGUGGUUAUAGUUAAAUUUUUGUGUUUUGGUCUGUUUUUCUCAUACUAUAUGCAAUAGGUCUACUAUAUUUGUUGUAUGAAAUGAUUGUGAGGUGUACCUAUCUAGCCGGCAGAUGUCAUGUGACCUUGACCUCAUUUUCAUGGUUCAGUGGUCAAAGUUAAGUUUUUGAGUUUUGGUCUUUUUAUCUAAUACUAUAUGCCAUAGGUCAUCUAUAUUUGGUGUAUGGAAAUAUUUUAUGAUCUUUAUGUCAGUCGCGCAAGUUUUAUUUGACCGUGACCUCAUUUUCACGGUUCAUUGCACAGUGUUAAGUUUUUGUGUUUUGGUCUAUUUUUCUUAAACUAUAAGUAAUAAGUCAACUAUAUAUGUUGUAUAGAAGCAUUGUUAGCUGUACAUGUCUGCCUGGCAUGGUUCAUCUGACCUUGACCUCAUUUUCAAGGUUCAUUGGUCUUUGUUUAGUUAUCUUGGUUAAUGUUAAGUUUAUG